GAUGAAGAACGUAGCGAAAUGCGAUACGUAAUGUGAAUUGCAGAAUUCAGUGAAUCAUCGAAUCUUUGAACGCAUAUUGCGCUCUCUGGUAUUCCGGAGAGCAUGCUUGUUUGAGUAUCAGUAAACACCUCAACUUCCAUAUCUUUUUUGAAAUGGGAGUUGGACUUGAGUGAUCCCAACGCUUUUCCUCACCGAAAAGUGGCGGGUUACUUGAAAUGCAGGUGCAGCUGGACUUUUCUCUGAGCUAUAAGCAUAUCUAUUUAGUCUGCCUAAAAAACAGAUUAUUACCUUUGCUGCAGCUAACAUAAAGGAGAUUAGUUCUUGUGCUGACUGAUGCAGGAUUCACAAAGACAGGCUUCGGCCGACUUUGUAAACUCGAUCUCAAAUCAAGUAAGACUACCCGCUGAACUUAAGCAUAUCAAUAAGCGGAGG
RNAcentral lists this unclassified non-coding RNA (432 nucleotides) under soil metagenome. RNAcentral describes it as "partial contains 5.8S ribosomal RNA, internal transcribed spacer 2, and large subunit ribosomal RNA". The stretch from base 1 to 120 matches the Rfam family "5.8S ribosomal RNA", at positions 35 to 154 of the family's 154-position model. The record is from RNAcentral.